This 22-nucleotide non-coding RNA is filed under the name Arabidopsis thaliana (thale cress). Lineage: Eukaryota; Viridiplantae; Streptophyta; Magnoliopsida; Brassicales; Brassicaceae. The record is from RNAcentral.
UAACUCGAUGACUUUGUGGCUG